CCCAGACUCCUACGGGAGGCAGCAGUGGGGGAUAUUGCACAAUGGGGGGAACCCUGAUGCAGCGACGCCGCGUGGGUGAAGGAGCGUUUCGGCGCGUAAAGCCCUAUCGGCAGGGAAGAAGGAGGACGGUACCUGACUAAGAAGCCCCGGCUAACUACGUGCCAGCAGCCGCGGUAAUACGUAGGGGGCAAGCGUUAUCCGGAUUUACUGGGUGUAAAGGGGGCGCAGACGGCAGCGCAAGCCAGGAGUGAAAGUCCGGGGCCCACCCCCGGGACUGCUCUUGGAACUGCGCGGCUGGAGUGCAGGAGGGGCAGGCGGAAUUCCUGGUGUAGCGGUGAAAUGCGUAGAUAUCAGGAGGAACACCGGUGGCGAAGGCGGCCUGCUGGACUGCGACUGACGUUGAGGCCCGAAAGCGUGGGGAGCAAACAGGAUUAGAUACCCCAGUAGUA
RNAcentral lists this ribosomal RNA (449 nucleotides) under uncultured bacterium. Its description in RNAcentral is "bacterial SSU rRNA". It matches the Rfam family "Bacterial small subunit ribosomal RNA", at positions 330 to 795 of the family's 1533-position model. The record is from RNAcentral.